GAUACCAAUUUUUUUUUUCUUUUUUUUAAUUAUUUAUUUUUAAUCUGUUUUUUUUUUUUUUUUAAAGAAGAUACACAACAACAACCACAUUCUGAAACGCAACAACAACCACAUCAGUGCAACAACAGCUUGGUAAGACUUUAAUUUCAUACGUUUUUAAGUAAUCUGUCAAUGGCAGCAGCUGCCACAACUCUUGGUAAAUAAA
Molecule: non-coding RNA, 205 nt
Organism: Hydra vulgaris (swiftwater hydra)
Lineage: Eukaryota; Metazoa; Cnidaria; Hydrozoa; Anthoathecata; Hydridae
Source: RefSeq, a predicted model, not a curated record